Molecule: ribosomal RNA, 393 nt
Filed under: uncultured bacterium
Lineage: Bacteria
Description: partial 16S ribosomal RNA
Rfam family: Bacterial small subunit ribosomal RNA
Source: RNAcentral
AUACGGAGGAUCCGAGCGUUAUCCGGAUUUAUUGGGUUUAAAGGGAGCGUAGGCGGACUAUUAAGUCAGCUGUGAAAGUUUGCGGCUCCACCGUAAAAUUGCAGUUGAUACUGGUCGUCUUGAGUGCAGUAGAGGUAGGCGGAAUUCGUGGUGUAGCGGCGAAAUGCUUAGAUAUCACGAAGAACUCCGAUUGCGAAGGCAGCCUACUAAACUGCCACUGACAUUGAUGCUCGAAAGUGUGGGUAUCAAACAGGAUUAGAUACCCUGGUAGUCCACACGGUAAACGAUGAAUACUCGCUGUUUGCGAUAUACUGCAAGCGGCCAAGCGAAAGCGUUAAGUAUUCCACCUGGGGAGUACGCCGGCAACGGUGAAACUCAAAGGAAUUGACGGGG